AGCGGCGGACGGGUGAGUAAUGCCUAGGAAUCUGCCCAGUAGUGGGGGACAACGUUUCGAAAGGAACGCUAAUACCGCAUACGUCCUACGGGAGAAAGUGGGGGAUCUUCGGACCUCACGCUAUUGGAUGAGCCUAGGUCGGAUUAGCUAGUUGGUAGGGUAAAGGCCUACCAAGGCGACGAUCCGUAACUGGUCUGAGAGGAUGAUCAGUCACACUGGAACUGAGACACGGUCCAGACUCCUACGGGAGGCAGCAGUGGGGAAUAUUGGACAAUGGGCGAAAGCCUGAUCCAGCCAUGCCGCGUGUGUGAAGAAGGCCCUCGGGUCGUAAAGCACUUUAAGUUGGGAGGAAGGGCUUACAGCGAAUACCUGUGAGUUUUGACGUUACCAACAGAAUAAGCACCGGCUAACUUCGUGCCAGCAGCCGCGGUAAUACGAAGGGUGCAAGCGUUAAUCGGAAUUACUGGGCGUAAAGCGCGCGUAGGUGGCUUGAUAAGUUGGAUGUGAAAUCCCCGGGCUCAACCUGGGAACUGCAUCCAAAACUGUCUGGCUAGAGUGCGGUAGAGGGUAGUGGAAUUUCCAGUGUAGCGGUGAAAUGCGUAGAUAUUGGAAGGAACACCAGUGGCGAAGGCGACUACCUGGACUGACACUGACACUGAGGUGCGAAAGC
Molecule: ribosomal RNA, 670 nt
Filed under: Pseudomonas oryzihabitans
Lineage: Bacteria; Pseudomonadati; Pseudomonadota; Gammaproteobacteria; Pseudomonadales; Pseudomonadaceae
Also listed under: 1 other name
Description: bacterial SSU rRNA
Rfam family: Bacterial small subunit ribosomal RNA
Source: RNAcentral